UACGUAGGGGGCAAGCGUUAUCCGGAUUUACUGGGCGUAAAGCGCGUUAAGGCGGCCGGCUAAGUUGGUGGUGAAAUUCCAGGGCUCAACCCUGGAACUGCCUCCAAUACUGGUCGGCUCGAGUGCGAGAGAGGAAGGUGGAAUUCCCGGUGUAGUAGUGAAAUGCGUAGAUAUCGGGAGGAACACCUGUGGCGAAAGCGGCUCACUGGACCACAACUGACGCUGAUGCACGAAAGCUAGGGGAGCAAACAGG
RNAcentral lists this ribosomal RNA (253 nucleotides) under uncultured bacterium. Its description in RNAcentral is "partial 16S ribosomal RNA". It matches the Rfam family "Bacterial small subunit ribosomal RNA", at positions 524 to 776 of the family's 1533-position model. The record is from RNAcentral.